RNAcentral lists this ribosomal RNA (524 nucleotides) under uncultured Flammeovirgaceae bacterium. RNAcentral describes it as "bacterial SSU rRNA". It matches the Rfam family "Bacterial small subunit ribosomal RNA", at positions 343 to 868 of the family's 1533-position model. Lineage: Bacteria; Pseudomonadati; Bacteroidota; Cytophagia; Cytophagales; Flammeovirgaceae. The record is from RNAcentral.
GGGAGGCAGCAGUAGGGRAUAUUGGUCAAUGGGUGAGAGCCUGAACCAGCCAUGCCGCGUGCAGGAAGACGGCCUUCUGGGUUGUAAACUGCUUUUAUAUGGGAAGAGAAAGCCCUUGCGAGGGAAACUGACGGUACCAUAAGAAUAAGCACCGGCUAACUCCGUGCCAGCAGCCGCGGUAAUACGGAGGGUGCAAGCGUUGUCCGGAUUUAUUGGGUUUAAAGGGUGCGUAGGCGGGCAAUUAAGUCAGUGGUGAAAGCCGGCAGCUCAACUGUCGAACUGCCAUUGAUACUGGUUGUCUUGAGUAUUGUUAAGGUAGGCGGAAUUGAUGAUGUAGCGGUGAAAUGCAUAGAUAUCAUCAGGAACACCAAUUGCGUAGGCAGCUUACUGGGCAAUAACUGACGCUGAGGCACGAAAGCGUGGGGAGCGAACAGGAUUAGAUACCCUGGUAGUCCACGCCGUAAACUAUGAUUACUCGCUGUCGGCGAUACACUGUCAGCGGCCAAGCGAAAGCGUUAAGUAAU